AACGAACGCUGGCGGCAGGCCUAACACAUGCAAGUCGAGCGAGGACUUCGGUUCUAGCGGCGGACGGGUGUGUAACGCGUGGGAAUGUGCCCUUCUCUACGGAAUAGCCCUGGGAAACUGGGAGUAAUACCGUAUACGCCCUUUUGGGGAAAGAUUUAUCGGAGAAGGAUGAGCCCGCGUUGGAUUAGGUAGUUGGUGGGGUAAUGGCCUACCAAGCAGACGAUCCAUAGCUGGUUUGAGAGGAUGAUCAGCCACACUGGGACUGAGACACGGCCCAGACUCCUACGGGAGGCAGCAGUGGGGAAUCUUAGACAAUGGGGGCAAUCCUGAUCUAGCCAGGCCGGGUGAGUGAUGAAGGCCUGAGGGUUGUAAAGCUCUUUCAGCUGGGAAGAUAAUGACGGUACCAGCAGAAGAAGCCCCGGCUAACUCCGUG
This 433-nucleotide ribosomal RNA is filed under the name uncultured bacterium. RNAcentral describes it as "partial 16S ribosomal RNA". It matches the Rfam family "Bacterial small subunit ribosomal RNA", at positions 29 to 507 of the family's 1533-position model. The record is from RNAcentral.